AGCGAACGCUGGCGGCAGGCCUAACACAUGCAAGUCGAACGAACCUUUCGGGGUUAGUGGCGGACGGGUGAGUAACACGUGGGAACGUGCCUUUAGGUUCGGAAUAACUCAGGGAAACUUGUGCUAAUACCGAAUGUGCCCUUCGGGGGAAAGAUUUAUCGCCUUUAGAGCGGCCCGCGUCUGAUUAGCUAGUUGGUUGAGGUAAUGGCUCACCAAGGCGACGAUCAGUAGCUGGUCUGAGAAGAUGAUCAGCCACAUUGGGACUGAGACACGGCCCAAACUCCUACGGGAAGCAGCAGUGGGGAAUCUUGCGCAAUGGGCGAAAGCCUGACGCAGCCAUGCCGCGUGAAUGAUGAAGGUCUUAGGAUUGUAAAAUUCUUUCACCGGGGACGAUAAUGACGGUACCCGGAGAAGAAGCCCCGGCUAACUUCGUG
Molecule: ribosomal RNA, 434 nt
Filed under: uncultured bacterium
Lineage: Bacteria
Description: partial 16S ribosomal RNA
Rfam family: Bacterial small subunit ribosomal RNA
Source: RNAcentral